This 174-nucleotide ribosomal RNA is filed under the name uncultured Frankia sp. Its description in RNAcentral is "partial 16S ribosomal RNA". It matches the Rfam family "Bacterial small subunit ribosomal RNA", at positions 338 to 524 of the family's 1533-position model. RNAcentral also lists the same sequence under 2 other names. Lineage: Bacteria; Bacillati; Actinomycetota; Actinomycetes; Frankiales; Frankiaceae. The record is from RNAcentral.
CCUACGGGAGGCAGCAGUGGGGAAUAUUGCACAAUGGGCGAAAGCCUGAUGCAGCGACGCCGCGUGAGGGAUGACGGCCUUCGGGUUGUAAACCUCUUUCAGCUCCGACGAAGCGCAAGUGACGGUAGGAGCAGAAGAAGCGCCGGCCAACUACGUGCCAGCAGCCGCGGUAAU